This 84-nucleotide transfer RNA is filed under the name Ixodes scapularis (black-legged tick). RNAcentral describes it as "tRNA-Leu for anticodon CAG". It matches the Rfam family "tRNA". From Rfam's summary of the family: Transfer RNA (tRNA) molecules are approximately 80 nucleotides in length. Their secondary structure includes four short double-helical elements and three loops (D, anti-codon, and T loops). Lineage: Eukaryota; Metazoa; Arthropoda; Arachnida; Ixodida; Ixodidae. The record is from RNAcentral.
GUCAGGAUGGCCGAGCGGUCUAAGGCGCUGCGUUCAGGUCGCAGUCCGGUCUUCCGGGCGUGGGUUCGAAUCCCACUUUGGACA